GUGCCAGCCGCCGCGGUAAUACGUAGGGUGCAAGCGUUAAUCGGAAUUACUGGGCGUAAAGCGUGCGCAGGCGGUUUUGUAAGUCUGUCGUGAAAGCCCCGGGCUCAACCUGGGAAUUGCGAUGGAGACUGCAAGGCUUGAAUCUGGCAGAGGGGGGUAGAAUUCCACGUGUAGCAGUGAAAUGCGUAGAGAUGUGGAGGAACACCGAUGGCGAAGGCAGCCCCCUGGGUCAAGAUUGACGCUCAUGCACGAAAGUGUGGGGAGCAAACAGGAUUAGAU
Molecule: ribosomal RNA, 279 nt
Filed under: uncultured Burkholderiales bacterium
Lineage: Bacteria; Pseudomonadati; Pseudomonadota; Betaproteobacteria; Burkholderiales
Description: partial 16S ribosomal RNA
Rfam family: Bacterial small subunit ribosomal RNA
Source: RNAcentral